UGGUUUAGUUGGCGGACGGGUGAGUAACACGUGAGCAACCUACCUUUCAGAGGGGGAUAACAGUUGGAAACGACUGCUAAUACCGCAUAACGUUGUAAAUGGGCAUCCAUUUACAACCAAAAGAGAAAUCUGCUGAAAGAUGGGCUCGCGGCCGAUUAGAUAGUAGGCGGGGUAACGGCCCACCUAGUCAACGAUCGGUAGCCGGACUGAGAGGGUGGACGGCCACAUUGGGACUGAGACACGGCCCAAACUCCUACGGAAGGCAGCAG
Molecule: ribosomal RNA, 269 nt
Filed under: uncultured bacterium
Lineage: Bacteria
Description: partial 16S ribosomal RNA
Rfam family: Bacterial small subunit ribosomal RNA
Source: RNAcentral